This 427-nucleotide ribosomal RNA is filed under the name uncultured bacterium. RNAcentral describes it as "bacterial SSU rRNA". It matches the Rfam family "Bacterial small subunit ribosomal RNA", at positions 28 to 437 of the family's 1533-position model. The record is from RNAcentral.
GAUGAACGCUGGCGGCGUGCUUAACACAUGCAAGUCGAACGAAGCAUUUAAGACGGAUUCUUUCGGGAUGAAGACUUUUAUGACUGAGUGGCGGACGGGUGAGUAACGCGUGGGUAACCUGCCUCACACAGGGGGGAUAGCAGUUGGAAACGGCUGAUAAUACCGCAUAAGCGCACAGUACCGCAUGGUACAGUGCGAAAAACUCCGGUGGUGUGAGAUGGACCCGCGUCUGAUUAGGUAGUUGGUGGGGUAACGGCCUACCAAGCCGACGAUCAGUAGCCGACCUGAGAGGGUGACCGGCACAUUGGGACUGAGACACGGCCCAAAUCCUACGGGAGCAGCAGUGGGGAAUAUUGCACAAUGGGGGAAACCCUGACUGCAGCGACGCCGCGUGAGCGAUGAAGUAUUCGGUAUGUAAAGCUCUAUC